CAAAGACAAAGUGAUGGAGAUGAAGGUGAGGAGAGCAAAGACAAAGUGGUGGAGAUGAAGGUGAGGAGAGCAAAGACAGAGUGAUGGAGAUGAAGGUGAGGAGAGCAAAGACAAAGUGGUGGAGAUGAAGGUGAGGAGAGCAAAGACAAAGUGGUGGAGAUGAAGGUGAGGAGAGCAAAGACAAAGUGAUGGAGAUGAAGGUGAGGAGAGCAAAGACGAAGUGAUGGAGAUGAAGGUGAGGAGAGCAAAGACAGAGUGGUGGAGAUGAAGGUGAGGAGAGCAAAGACAAAGUGGUGGAGAUGAAGGUGAGGAGAGCAAAGACAGAGUGGUGGAGAUGAAGGUGAGGAGAGCAAAGACCAAGUGGUGGAGAUGAAGGUGAGGAGAGCAAAGACAAAGUGGUGGAGAUGAAGGUGAGGAGAGCAAAGACAAAGUGGUGGAGAUGAAGGUGAGGAGAGCAAAGACCAAGUGGUGGAGAUGAAGGUGAGGAGAGCAAAGACAGAGUGGUGGAGAUGAAGGUGAGGAGAGCAAAGACAAAGUGGUGGAGAUGAAGGUGAGGAGAGCAAAGACAAAGUGGUGGAGAUGAAGGUGAGGAGAGCAAAGACAAAGUGGUGGAGAUGAAGGUGAGGAGAGCAAAGACAAAGUGGUGGAGAUGAAGGUGAGGAGAGCAAAGACAAAGUGAUGGAGAUGAAGGUGAGGAGAGCAAAGACAGAGUGGUGGAGAUGAAGGUGAGGAGAGCAAAGACAGAGUGGUGGAGAUGAAGGUGAGGAGAGCAAAGACAGAGUGGUGGAGAUGAAGGUGAGGAGAGCAAAGACAGAGUGAUGGAGAUGAAGGUGAGGAGAGCAAAGACAGAGUGAUGGAGAUGAAGGUGAGGAGAGCAAAGACCAAGUGGUGGAGAUGAAGGUGAGGAGAGCAAAGACAAAGUGGUGGAGAUGAAGGUGAGGAGAGCAAAGACAAAGUGGUGGAGAUGAAGGUGAGGAGAGCAAAGACAGAGUGGUGGAGAUGAAGGUGAGGAGAGCAAAGACAGAGUGGUGGAGAUGAAGGUGAGGAGAGCAAAGACAAAUGGAAACAACUAGCCUAGCCGUGCUAGACAACCCACGGCAACAAAUUUAAUUCUCUGCCAGGGUCGACAACAAAAACGACAACAGUGGUUGAGCUCCAUUAGCACCGACUCUGAAUAAUCUUUCUGUUAACAUGUCUGUAAUAUACUUGAGCUUCACCCAUUGACUGUAUAAAUAAGGCUUCACUGAACUCCCUCAUCCUCUGAUUUCCGGCGCUCUAGGAGCCUAUUCGUUGCACUGAUUGGUUGUAUACCUACCCAACUGCUGCAGAGUGAUUUGAUAGACAACCUUUUAGCCCGCCUCCCUCCCUGUCGAGCGGUCCUAGACCCUUGCGUCUUCAGAGCAUGGGUCUAGCGCGGCUAGGCUAGGUGAACGGCGUCACUCACUGCAGAAAAGGCUCCUCUCAGAACAGGGAAAACAAACUGAUUUCAAAGAGCUUUUACCUCGAAAUAAGAGGAAAAAUCUGCCAAUAGAACAAGUUAAAAAUGUCUUGGGUGAGAUUUCUGGAAAUAAGAUGUGACAUUUAGAAUACUGAGAUCUUAAAAUUAGCUGGAAAACUUAUUUUAAGUUCUAUUUUACCAGGAUCAAGCUUGGGUGUCUUAAAAUAAGCCAGACAUGCUAAAAAACAAAACAAAGACAAGCAGUUUUUCACUCAAAAAUAGAUUUCUGUUUUCAUGUAGCCUCCUAAUUUAAGAUGUUUUAACCCUCCUGUUGUCUUCAUUUAUAGGAACCAAAAAAUAUUUUCCUUGUCUGAAAAAAAUCCCCCAAAAAACAAUCCUCAAAAAAAAUGCCCACAUUUGUGAAAAUUCACAAAACCUUCAGGAAGAAAAUUCCAAUAAUUCCUUAAAAGUUUUAUUUAAAAAUCCUCCAAAUGUGGCAAGAAUAUUAUUGUAAAUAUUUUCAACAAA
Molecule: long non-coding RNA, 1966 nt
Organism: Acanthochromis polyacanthus (spiny chromis)
Lineage: Eukaryota; Metazoa; Chordata; Actinopteri; Pomacentridae
Exons: 9
Source: RefSeq, a predicted model, not a curated record